UGAAAAACGUAGAAAGAUCGAGUAUGUUAUAGUCCAUUUACGCUUACAGCGGCAAGAGAGGAAUUUCCUAGGCUGAGAGAAAUUCUAAAUGAAGGAUAACAGAAGGCUAGUCUUGAGUGCAGGUAAACCCUGUCGUUUUGUCCCGUUAUCGACACCCAAGUGAAAGGCAAGUUUUUUUGCCUUUAAUCAGGGUGGUACCGCGAGUAAGCCUCUCGUCCCUGGA
This 223-nucleotide non-coding RNA is filed under the name Heyndrickxia ginsengihumi. Its description in RNAcentral is "Bacillus ginsengihumi T-box sequence". It matches the Rfam family "T-box leader". From Rfam's summary of the family: Uncharged tRNA acts as the effector for transcription antitermination of genes in the T-box leader family. The record is from RNAcentral. Lineage: Bacteria; Bacillati; Bacillota; Bacilli; Caryophanales; Bacillaceae.